AGCGAACGCUGGCGGCAGGCCUAACACAUGCAAGUCGAACGAACCUUUCGGGGUUAGUGGCGGACGGGUGAGUAACACGUGGGAACGUGCCUUUAGGUUCGGAAUAACUCAGGGAAACUUGUGCUAAUACCGAAUGUGCCCUUCGGGGGAAAGAUUUAUCGCCUUUAGAGCGGCCCGCGUCUGAUUAGCUAGUUGGUUGAGGUAAUGGCUCACCAAGGCGACGAUCAGUAGCUGGUCUGAGAGGAUGAUCAGCCACAUUGGGACUGAGACACGGCCCAAACUCCUACGGGAGGCAGCAGUGGGGAAUCUUGCGCAAUGGGCGAAAGCCUGACGCAGCCAUGCCGCGUGAAUGACGAAGGUCUUAGGAUUGUAAAAUUCUUUCACCGGGGACGAUAAUGACGGUACCCGGAGAAGAAGCCCCGGCUAACUUCGUG
This 434-nucleotide ribosomal RNA is filed under the name uncultured bacterium. RNAcentral's name for it is "partial 16S ribosomal RNA". It matches the Rfam family "Bacterial small subunit ribosomal RNA", at positions 29 to 507 of the family's 1533-position model. The record is from RNAcentral.